Molecule: ribosomal RNA, 397 nt
Filed under: uncultured Neocallimastigomycetes
Lineage: Eukaryota; Fungi; Neocallimastigomycota; Neocallimastigomycetes
Description: eukaryotic LSU rRNA
Rfam family: Eukaryotic large subunit ribosomal RNA
Source: RNAcentral
GUUCUACCUUGACGAAUUGUAGUUUAAAGAAGUGUUUUCUGUUGGAGUUUUGGUAAAAGUUCUUUGGAAUAGGACAUCAUAGAGGGUGAGAAUCCCGUAUUUGACCAUUAUUUCCAACUUUGUGAUACACUUUCAAAGAGUCGGAUUGUUUGGGAAUGCAGUCCAAAAUGGGUGGUAAAUUUCAUCUAAAGCUAAAUACUGGCGAGAGACCGAUAGCGAACAAGUACCGUGAGGGAAAGAUGAAAAGAACUUUGAAAAGAGAGUUAAACAGUACGUGAAAUUGUCAAAAGGGAGGCGUUUGACACCAGUGUUGUUUUCUCGAAAAUCAAUUAAAAAUGGCGGGAUUUUGUGUUGUAUUGACUUUAUCAGCUUUCUGCACUUUUUUCCUGUCUUUUUU